Long non-coding RNA from Amaranthus tricolor (Joseph's coat), 815 nucleotides. RefSeq lists it as uncharacterized. The transcript is spliced from 5 exons. NCBI's taxonomy places the organism in Eukaryota, Viridiplantae, Streptophyta, Magnoliopsida, Caryophyllales, Amaranthaceae. The record is from RefSeq and is a predicted model, not a curated record.
CAAACAUAUACUUGUGCUUUGUUAAUUUAAUAAGUGUUUUCACUUUCUACAAACUUUCAGGAAAUUGAUUGCUACAACUUUGCUCUAAACUUAAUACAGGGCGAUGUUAUAAGAGCAACCCUCUUCGAAGAUGACAUACAAGCUUAUGAUUCUUUAAUUCAACAGAAUCAUGAGUUUCUGAUUUCGAAUCAUGAGUACCAAACCAGAGUUGGGGAAUAUCAAAUGGCAUUUAGUAAUCGCACCGUAAUUCAAGCAAUUGGUUCCUCUUCACAAGCUUCCGGUCCAACUUAUCAUUCAAUAACAACUAUUCCUAGAACAAACGGGUCUUUAUGAUAAAUUUGAUAUGAUUGGUGUUGUUAUUUUCAUUGGAGACAAGCGCAUGGUAAGAUGUGUGUUUGAGCAGCAAAACAAUGUGUCUAAAAUUAUUGUCACUGAUCAUAGCUCACAUCAGUCCUUAAUUGUGUCGGCAUGUAAUGAUAUGGAAGACUUCUUUAAAACAAAGCCUGUUGAAAAUCACAUCAUUGGUUUCACAUCUCUAAGGGUUACAUGUCACAAGGGGCCUCUUCUCAUGGAUCCUUGCUUCGGGAGCGCAAAGCACAAAUCCUGAAGACUCGCAUGCCCUUAAACCAAAGACAACUAACCACAAUUAAAUUCAUGAAAAGCAAGACGGUAUUAGCUCCCACUUUCUACUUAUAUCAGUUUAUUAUAUGUUUCAUGAAAAAAUUAAACAUGCUUGCUUACAAAGGGAAUUUUGUUUAUACAAAGCUAGCUUAAUUUCUUAUACAUUACAAAUCUGAUUAUGAAAUGUGGUUUAU